This is a long non-coding RNA of Carassius carassius (crucian carp), 1199 nucleotides long. RefSeq lists it as uncharacterized. NCBI's taxonomy places the organism in Eukaryota, Metazoa, Chordata, Actinopteri, Cypriniformes, Cyprinidae. The record is from RefSeq and is a predicted model, not a curated record. The transcript has 4 exons.
CACACUCAAUCACCAAUUCAAUUCAAGCUCCUCCGACAGCACGCUAAACUGAGGGCAUAAUGUGUCCACUUGGGCUAAAAGCCGGUGUUAGGUUGCAGCGCAGUAGCAUCUGCCUAAUAGAUAUUGCAGAGUCUGAACACAAAUGGGCUUCUCUUAGUGUAUGCUGUAUCACUUCUCAGCGCUCACAGUUUCCUGCCAUUGAUCAAGCCCCACCUAUUCAGCUGAUGGGCCAGAGGAGAAACUCGAUCACUUAACAAGAAAGAAGCAGAGGAGAGAGGAAGGAGAAAUUGAGAGCAAUGCCUAAGCCUGGACAUCCUUGAACCUGAAGGGCUUCUGUACAGCAUUGCGACUAAUACACGGUUUCCGGAGCAAUUGGGUUCAGCAUCUCUUAAAGUAUGGACUGAUGAGAGACUGUGACCAGUACAUCCAUCUUGUGUUCUCAAAGACUAGAGAGCCGAACCUGGGUGAGGUCAAUACGGAGUUACUCUCUGUGGGUUAAAGCUGCCUGUGUGAGUGACUAGUGGCAGCUCUAUAAAGGCUUGUGAGAUUGUGCAGGAAAUAGAGGAAACUGGAGUCUGAGGGAGACUGGGAAACUGGGAGGAACCGGUCAGAUUGGGUUUACUGGCCUGUCAGUCUGUCAGUGAUACCCCCACUGCAUCAGUCCGUCAGCACUGCGUAUAGCACACACACACACAGGGCACACGUGCACAGCUUUAAAAAUACCCUUUCGUAACAGAUUUGCAGAUUGCUGUAAAAUUACAUUUUAUAGCUAGAAAACUUUGGAGAAAUACAAUCCAAAAGUGUGGCUGCAUCGAUGAGUGACAGGAUGUUGCGGGAGAAGCAACACCAUGUACACAGAUACCUUUGGUGAUACUGUGAAUGUCUUCCAAUAUACACACUCGCACACACACCCCCACAGCACACUCUCAGGGAUGGUAUUUCGAUACACAGACUGGGCAGUAUGGAGCGCUUUCUGUCUGUGUGGUUUCCUGUGAAAGCCUAGCAGCUGAUUUUACCUUCAACCACAACAAUAGGCCUGACACUAAAUACUCCCAAACAUACACACACAAACACACAUACAGAGAAGAUGAGACGGAGAGUGGGGGAUCAGUUGUGUUACAACUCCAAUAAAUCAGAAUGUUUGUCUAAUUCUAUAGCUGACCCUUUUUUUGGACAUUAAAUCACAUAUUAAACAUUAA